RNAcentral lists this ribosomal RNA (492 nucleotides) under Nematoda environmental sample. RNAcentral's name for it is "bacterial SSU rRNA". It matches the Rfam family "Eukaryotic small subunit ribosomal RNA", at positions 38 to 534 of the family's 1831-position model. Lineage: Eukaryota; Metazoa; Nematoda. The record is from RNAcentral.
CAAAGAUUAAGCCAUGCAUGUCUAAGCAUGCGCUGAAGUAAAGUGAAGCCGCGAAUAGCUCAUUAUAACAGCCGUUGUUUCUUGGAUCUCUUCUCUACUUGGAUAACUGUGGUAAUUCUAGAGCUAAUACAUGCCUUGUAGCUCGGAUCGCAAGUGAUGAGCGCAUUUAUUAGAUCAAAACCAUCCGGCUUCGGCCGUGUUUUGAUGACUCUGAAUAACCCAGCAGAUCACAUGGGCUCGUCCCGGUGACAAAUCUUUCAAGUGUCUGCCUUAUCAACUUUCGAUGGUAGUUCAUGUGACUACCAUGGUUGUGACGGGUAACGGAGGAUCAGGGUCUGACUCCGGAGAGGGAGCCUGAGAAACGGCUACCACUUCUAAGGAAGGCAGCAGGCGCGCAAAUUACCCAUUCUCAGUACGAGGAGGUAGUGACGAAAAAUACCAAGGUGAGGCCCUAUGGGUUUCGCCAUUGGAAUGAGAACAAUAUAAAUCUUU